CAGGCUUAACACAUGCAAGUCGAGGGGCAUCAGGAAGAAAGCUUGCUUUCUUUGCUGGCGACCGGCGCACGGGUGAGUAACACGUAUCCAACCUGCCCUUUACUCGGGGAUAGCCUUUCGAAAGAAAGAUUAAUACCCGAUGGCAUAAUGAUUCCGCAUGGUUUCAUUAUUAAAGGAUUCCGGUAAAGGAUGGGGAUGCGUUCCAUUAGGUUGUUGGUGAGGUAACGGCCCACCAAGCCUUCGAUGGAUAGGGGUUCUGAGAGGAAGGUCCCCCACAUUGGAACUGAGACACGGUCCAAACUCCUACGGGAGGCAGCAGUGAGGAAUAUUGGUCAAUGGGCGCUAGCCUGAACCAGCCAAGUAGCGUGAAGGAUGAAGGCUCUAUGGGUCGUAAACUUCUUUUAUAUAAGAAUAAAGUGCAGUAUGUAUACUGUUUUGUAUGUAUUAUAUGAAUAAGGAUCGGCUAACUCCGUGCCAGCAGCCGCGGUAAUACGGAGGAUCCGAGCGUUAUCCGGAUUUAUUGGGUUUAAAGGGAGCGUAGGUGGACUGGUAAGUCAGUUGUGAAAGUUUGCGGCUCAACCGUAAAAUUGCAGUUGAUACUGUCAGUCUUGAGUACAGUAGAGGUGGGCGGAAUUCGUGGUGUAGCGGUGAAAUGCUUAGAUAUCACGAAGAACUCCGAUUGCGAAGGCAGCUCACUGGACUGCAACUGACACUGAUGCUCGAAAGUGUGGGUAUCAAACAGGAUUAGAUACCCUGGUAGUCCACACAGUAAACGAUGAAUACUCGCUGUUUGCGAUAUACAGUAAGCGGCCAAGCGAAAGCAUUAAGUAUUCCACCUGGGGAGUACGCCGGCAACGGUGAAACUCAAAGGAAUUGACGGGGGCCCGCACAAGCGGAGGAACAUGUGGUUUAAUUCGAUGAUACGCGAGGAACCUUACCCGGGCUUAAAUUGCAGUGGAAUGAUGUGGAAACAUGUCAGUGAGCAAUCACCGCUGUGAAGGUGCUGCAUGGUUGUCGUCAGCUCGUGCCGUGAGGUGUCGGCUUAAGUGCCAUAACGAGCGCAACCCUUAUCUUCAGUUACUAACAGGUUAUGCUGAGGACUCUGGAGAGACUGCCGUCGUAAGAUGUGAGGAAGGUGGGGAUGACGUCAAAUCAGCACGGCCCUUACGUCCGGGGCUACACACGUGUUACAAUGGGGGGUACAGAAGGCAGCUAGCGGGUGACCGUAUGCUAAUCCCAAAAUCCUCUCUCAGUUCGGAUCGAAGUCUGCAACCCGACUUCGUGAAGCUGGAUUCGCUAGUAAUCGCGCAUCAGCCACGGCGCGGUGAAUACGUUCCCGGGCCUUGUACACACCGCCCGUCAAGCCAUGGGAGCCGGGGGUACCUGAAGUACGUAACCGCAAGGAUCGUCCUAGGGUAAAACUGGUGACUGGGGCUAAGUC
RNAcentral lists this ribosomal RNA (1441 nucleotides) under uncultured organism. Its description in RNAcentral is "SSU rRNA". It matches the Rfam family "Bacterial small subunit ribosomal RNA". The record is from RNAcentral.